GACGAACGCUGGCGGCGUGCUUAACACAUGCAAGUCGAACGGAAAGGCCCUGCUUGCAGGGUGCUCGAGUGGCGAACGGGUGAGUAACACGUGGGUGAUCUGCCCCUUACUUUGGGAUAAGCCCGGGAAACUGGGUCUAAUACUGGAUAGGACCAUGCUGUAGGUGGUGUGGUGGAAAGAUUAGUUUCGGUAAGGGAUGAGCUCGCGGCCUAUCAGCUUGUUGGUGGGGUAAUGGCCUACCAAGGCGUCGACGGGUAGCCGGCCUGAGAGGGUGGACGGCAACAUUGGGACUGAGAUACGGCCCAGACUCCUACGGGAGGCAGCAGUGGGGAAUAUUGCACAAUGGGCGCAAGCCUGAUGCAGCGACGCCGCGUGGGGGAUGACGGCCUUCGGGUUGUAAACUCCUUUCAGCCAUGACGAAGCCCUUGUGGUGACGGUAGUGGUAGAAGAAGCACCGGCUAACUACGUG
Molecule: ribosomal RNA, 469 nt
Filed under: uncultured bacterium
Lineage: Bacteria
Description: partial 16S ribosomal RNA
Rfam family: Bacterial small subunit ribosomal RNA
Source: RNAcentral